This 447-nucleotide ribosomal RNA is filed under the name uncultured bacterium. Its description in RNAcentral is "bacterial SSU rRNA". It matches the Rfam family "Bacterial small subunit ribosomal RNA", at positions 330 to 793 of the family's 1533-position model. The record is from RNAcentral.
GCCAGACUCCUACGGGAGGCAGCAGUGGGGGAUAUUGCACAAUGGGGGGAACCCUGAUGCAGCGACGCCGCGUGGGUGAAGGAGUGCUUCGGCAUGUAAAGCCCUAUCGGCAGGGAAGAAGCAAGACGGUACCUGACUAAGAAGCCCCGGCUAACUACGUGCCAGCAGCCGCGGUAAUACGUAGGGGGCGAGCGUUAUCCGGAUUCACUGGGUGUAAAGGGAGCGUAGACGGCGAUGCAAGCCAGAUGUGAAAGCCCGGGGCUCAACCCCGGGACUGCAUUUGGAACUGUGUGGCUGGAGUGUCGGAGAGGCAGGCGGAAUUCCUAGUGUAGCGGUGAAAUGCGUAGAUAUUAGGAGGAACACCAGUGGCGAAGGCGGCCUGCUGGACGAUGACUGACGUUGAGGCUCGAAAGCGUGGGGAGCAAACAGGAUUAGAUACCCUGGUAC